This 1139-nucleotide ribosomal RNA is filed under the name uncultured bacterium. Its description in RNAcentral is "bacterial SSU rRNA". It matches the Rfam family "Bacterial small subunit ribosomal RNA", at positions 28 to 1213 of the family's 1533-position model. The record is from RNAcentral.
AUCGGUCGUUGGCGGCGUGCUUUACCAUGCAGUCGAACGAACCUUCGGGUUAGUGGCGGACGGGUGAGUAACGCGUGGGAAUCUGCCCUCAGGAGGGGGAUAACGGCUGGAAACGGCCGCUAAUACCCCAUAUGCCGAGAGGUGAAAUGAAUUUCGCCUGAGGAUGAGCCCGCGUCUGAUUAGCUAGUUGGUGAGGUAAGAGCUCACCAAGGCAUCGAUCAGUAGCUGGUCUGAGAGGAUGAUCAGCCACACUGGGACUGAGACACGGCCCAGACUCCUACGGGAGGCAGCAGUGGGGAAUUUUCCGCAAUGGGCGAAAGCCUGACGGAGCAACGCCGCGUGAGGGAUGAAGGCCUCUGGGCUGUAAACCUCUUUUCUCAAGGAAGAAGAUCUGACGGUACUUGAGGAAUAAGCCACGGCUAAUUCCGUGCCAGCAGCCGCGGUAAUACGGGAGUGGCAAGCGUUAUCCGGAAUUAUUGGGCGUAAAGCGUCCGCAGGCGGUCCAGAAAGUCUGCUGUUAAAAAGUGGAGCUUAACUCCAUCAUGGCAGUGGAAACUACUGGACUAGAGUGUGGUAGGGGCAGAGGGAAUUCCCGGUGUAGCGGUGAAAUGCGUAGAUAUCGGGAAGAACACCAGUGGCGAAGGCGCUCUGCUGGGCCAUAACUGACGCUCAUGGACGAAAGCCAGGGGAGCGAAAGGGAUUAGAUACCCCUGUAGUCCUGGCCGUAAACGAUGAACACUAGGUGUCGGGGGAAUCGACCCCCUCGGUGUCGUAGCCAACGCGUUAAGUGUUCCGCCUGGGGAGUACGCACGCAAGUGUGAAACUCAGAGGAAUUGACGGGGGCCCGCACAAGCGGUGGAGUAUGUGGUUUAAUUCGAUGCAACGCGAAGAACCUUACCAGGGCUUGACAUCCUGCGAAUCUCCUGGAAACGGGAGAGUGCUCUUCGGGAACGCAGUGACAGGUGGUGCAUGGCCUGUCGUCAGCUCGUGUCGUGAGAUGUUGGGUUAAGUUCCCGCAACGAGCGCAACCCACGUCUUAGUUGCCAGCAUUCAGUUGGGCACUCUAGAGAGACCGCCUGGUGAUAAACCGGAGGAGGUGUUGAUGACGUCAAGUUCAUCAUGCCCCUUACCAUCCGGGG